This 924-nucleotide ribosomal RNA is filed under the name uncultured archaeon. Its description in RNAcentral is "bacterial SSU rRNA". It matches the Rfam family "Archaeal small subunit ribosomal RNA", at positions 1 to 922 of the family's 1478-position model. The record is from RNAcentral.
UUUCCGGUUGAUCCCGCCGGAAGCCACUGCUAUGGGGGUCCGACUAAGCCAUGCGAGUCAUGGGGCGCCUUGCGCGCACCGGCGGACGGCUCAGUAACACGUCGGUAACCUACCCUCGGGAGGGGGAUAACCCCGGGAAACUGGGGCUAAUCCCCCAUAGGCCUGAGGUACUGGAAGGUCCUCAGGCCGAAAGGGGCUCUGCCCGCCCGAGGAUGGGCCGGCGGCCGAUUAGGUAGUUGGUGGGGUAACGGCCCACCAAGCCGAAGAUCGGUACGGGCCAUGAGAGUGGGAGCCCGGAGAUGGACACUGAGACACGGGUCCAGGCCCUACGGGGCGCAGCAGGCGCGAAACCUCCGCAAUGCGGGCAACCGCGACGGGGGGACCCCCAGUGCCGUGGCAUCGCCACGGCUUUUCCGGAGUGUAAAAAGCUCCGGGAAUAAGGGCUGGGCAAGGCCGGUGGCAGCCGCCGCGGUAAUACCGGCGGCCCGAGUGGUGGCCGCUAUUAUUGGGCCUAAAGCGUCCGUAGCCGGGCCCGUAAGUCCCUGGCGAAAUCCCACGGCUCAACCGUGGGGCUUGCUGGGGAUACUGCGGGCCUUGGGACCGGGAGAGGCCGGGGGUACCCCUGGGGUAGGGGUGAAAUCCUAUAAUCCCAGGGGGACCGCCAGUGGCGAAGGCGCCCGGCUGGAACGGGUCCGACGGUGAGGGACGAAGGCCAGGGGAGCGAACCGGAUUAGAUACCCGGGUAGUCCUGGCUGUAAAGGAUGCGGGCUAGGUGUCGGGCGAGCUUCGAGCUCGCCCGGUGCCGAAGGGAAGCCGUUAAGCCCGCCGCCUGGGGAGUACGGCCGCAAGGCUGAAACUUAAAGGAAUUGGCGGGGGAGCACUACAAGGGGUGGAGCGUGCGGUUUAAUUGGAGUCAACGCCGGG